This 577-nucleotide ribosomal RNA is filed under the name Acaphylla steinwedeni. Its description in RNAcentral is "partial 28S ribosomal RNA". Lineage: Eukaryota; Metazoa; Arthropoda; Arachnida; Trombidiformes; Eriophyidae. The record is from RNAcentral.
AAAUAGAACUUUGCAGAGAGAGUUACAGGCGUGAACCGUUAAUUGGCAAACGAAUCGGAGCCACGAAGUCGUUUCGCUGAUUAGUUGGGCCAAGUUCAGUCCAAGAUCGCAAGAUUUUGGGUGUAUUCUUGUAGUCCAACCUAACAUUGUAAACGUACACUGCAACCAGUUAGACGAUUGGCGAUGGGCCCAGCUGGUUGGGGAGCAAUCCCCGGCUAGCGCAGCUAUUGUCCGUUUGAGCCAGCAGCAGCUUGGUGCGCCUCGGCGUAUUCGAGUUGUUGGGCGCAGGCGGGAGAACUAUCGCCAAACACUGACUGGCAAAAUAAAAAUCACUCGCAGAGUGUUUGAAUAGAACGCGGCCGUCCACAUGGGUGUCCACAUGCUUGACCGUUUGGCUUAAGCUCAGCAUUUUUAAAUUCAAACUUGCUUGCUACCAGUGGGGCAACUCCUGGUGCUUGUAUUGCUUUGUCUAAUUGGGUGUUGACUUGGUUAGGCGUCGUUCGAGCAUGCAACGAUCGGGCGCCUAUGUGAGGUGGUUCGCAAUCAUUGGCAGUGAGUAGGUCGGCUUUCCGAACGA